This is a long non-coding RNA of Pipistrellus kuhlii (Kuhl's pipistrelle), 466 nucleotides long. RefSeq lists it as uncharacterized. The record is from RefSeq and is a predicted model, not a curated record. Lineage: Eukaryota; Metazoa; Chordata; Mammalia; Chiroptera; Vespertilionidae. The transcript is spliced from 2 exons.
AAACUCUAUUCUUUCACAGACUCAGUUACACCACUAACCUCUCUAAACCAGCAGUCUCUCAUUAUUUCAAGGCUCGUUCCUUGAGCUAGGAACCUCGUCACGAUUAUUUCACACCAAAUGCCUCCUAUGUUGCUGGUGCUGCUCUCCUCCAAAAAGUUCAGUAAAUUCGUGCCAGAGGUGUUUUAAGUUCUGUGCAUUGAAAUGAGCUAUUUCCCACUUCAUAGCUAUAUAAUAAACAACAAAAUAUUGACUUUGAAAACAAGCUUUCAUUUUUGAUUUCCAGAAAUAUGACAUGGAUAGCAACUAGUCCUGUUGUUCAGCCUUGCUGUAAAAUUCCAAGCCAGUUAUAUUGUCCAAUGAUGUGUCCUUUAUUGUUAAAUAAAUCUGUGCAAUUUGUUUAAUUUAGUUGAUUGUUUGUAUUAUUUGUUUCACUGUUUAUCAAUAUAUUAACUUGCUGUGUAUCAUU